GACGAACGCUGGCGGCGUGCUUAACACAUGCAAGUCGAACGGAAAGGCCCUGCUUUCGUGGGGUGCUCGAGUGGCGAACGGGUGAGUAACACGUGAGUAACCUGCCCUUGACUUUGGGAUAACUUCAGGAAACUGGGGCUAAUACCGGAUAGGAGCUCCUCCUCCAGGGUGGGGGUGGGAAAGUUUGGGCGGUUGGGGAUGGACUCGCGGCUUACCAGCUUGUUGGUGGGGGAGUGGCUUACCAAGGCUUUGACGGGUAGCCGGCCUGUGAGGGUGACCGGCCACAUUGGGACUGAGAUACGGCCCAGACUCCUACGGGAGGCAGCAGUGGGGAAUAUUGCACAAUGGGCGGAAGCCUGAUGCAGCAACGCCGCGUGCGGGAUGACGGCCUUCGGGUUGUAAACCGCUUUCGCCUGUGACGAAGCGUGAGUGACGGUAAUGGGUAAAGAAGCACCGGCUAACUACGUG
This 468-nucleotide ribosomal RNA is filed under the name uncultured bacterium. RNAcentral's name for it is "partial 16S ribosomal RNA". It matches the Rfam family "Bacterial small subunit ribosomal RNA", at positions 28 to 507 of the family's 1533-position model. The record is from RNAcentral.